GUGCCAGCCGCCGCGGUAAUACCGGCAGCCCAAGUGAUGGCCGCUGUUAUUGGGCCUAAAGCGUCCGUAGCUGGCCGCACGAGUCCGUCGGGAAAUCCGCCCGCUCAACGGGCGGCCGUCCGGCGGAACCUGUGUGGCUUGGGGCCGGAGGACCCGAGGGGUACGUCCGGGGUAGGAGUGAAAUCCUGUAAUCCUGGACGGACCGCCGGUGGCGAAAGCGCCUCGAGAAAACGGAUCCGACAGUGAGGGACGAAAGCCAGGGUCUCCAACCGGAUUAGAUACCCCAGUAGUCC
This 293-nucleotide ribosomal RNA is filed under the name uncultured bacterium. RNAcentral's name for it is "partial 16S ribosomal RNA". It matches the Rfam family "Archaeal small subunit ribosomal RNA", at positions 455 to 747 of the family's 1478-position model. The record is from RNAcentral.